This 977-nucleotide small RNA is filed under the name uncultured Actinomycetales bacterium. RNAcentral describes it as "bacterial SSU rRNA". The stretch from base 1 to 472 matches the Rfam family "Bacterial small subunit ribosomal RNA", at positions 1064 to 1533 of the family's 1533-position model. The record is from RNAcentral. Lineage: Bacteria; Bacillati; Actinomycetota; Actinomycetes; Actinomycetales.
GCCGUGAGGUGUUGCCUUAAGUGGCGCAACGAGCGCAACCCCUGUCCCUAGUUGCCAGCGGGUCAUGCCGGGAACUCUAGGGAGACUGCCGGUGCCAAACCGGAGGAAGGUGGGGAUGACGUCAAGUCAUCAUGCCCCUUAAGUCCAGGGCUGCACACAUGCCACAAUGCGCGGUACAGAGGGCUGCGAUCCCGCAAGGGGGAGCGAAUCCCAAAAAGCCGCGCUCAGUUCGGAUCGGGGUCUGCAACCCGACCCCGUGAAGUCGGAGUCGCUAGUAAUCGCAGAUCAGCAACGCUGCGGUGAAUACGUUCCCGGGCCUUGUACACACCGCCCGUCACACCACGAAAGUGGGCAACACCCGAAGCCGGUGGCCCAACCCUUUGGGAGGGAGCCGUCGAAGGUGGGAUCGGCGAUUGGGACGAAGUCGUAACAAGGUAGCCGUACCGGAAGGUGCGGCUGGAUCACCUCCUUUCUAAGGAGCACCACAAGACCUGGUCCCGCCCACAUUGUGUGGGGGUUCGGUGUACCAGGCGAUUCUGUGGAUGGCCUGCACCUGUAGUGGGUGGGGGUCUGGUGCACAACAAACGCUUGGGCUGGUGGGGAAACACCGGUCGGAAAUUAAUCAUCAGACACACUAUUGGGCUUUGAGGCAACAGGCCCGCUAUCUCUUCGUCCCGUGUGUGGGAAACCGGAGAUAGGACUGGUUGUCGCCCCGAGUUUUGGUGGUGGGGUGUGGUGUUUGAUUUGUGGAUAGUGGUUGCGAGCAUCGAGCGCGCAUGGUGGUCACCACCCUUUUGGGGUGGUGGUUUUCUGUGUGUGUCUGAUGUGCAAUUUCAAAGUUUUAUAUAGCUUUUGGUUUUGUGUUGUAAGUGUUUAAGGGCGCAUGGUGGAUGCCUUGGCACUGGGAGCCGAUGAAGGACGUGGGAGGCUGCGUUAUGCCUCGGGGAGCUGUCAACCGAGCGUGGAUCCGAGGAUGU